UGGGGAAUAUUGGACAAUGGGCGAAAGCCUGAUCCAGCCAUGCCGCGUGUGUGAAGAAGGUCUUCGGAUUGUAAAGCACUUUAAGUUGGGAGGAAGGGCAGUAAGCGAAUACCUUGCUGUUUUGACGUUACCGACAGAAUAAGCACCGGCUAACUCUGUGCCAGCAGCCGCGGUAAUACAGAGGGUGCAAGCGUUAAUCGGAAUUACUGGGCGUAAAGCGCGCGUAGGUGGUUCGUUAAGUUGAAUGUGAAAGCCCCGGGCUCAACCUGGGAACUCCAUCCAAAACUGGCGAGCUAGAGUAGGGCAGAGGGGGGUGGAAUUUCCUGUGUAGCGGUGAAAUGCGUAGAUAUAGGAGGAACACCAGUGGCGAAGGCGACCACCUGGGCUCAUACUGACACUGAGGUGCGAAAGCGUGGGGAGCAAACAGG
RNAcentral lists this ribosomal RNA (428 nucleotides) under Pseudomonadota bacterium. Its description in RNAcentral is "Proteobacteria bacterium partial 16S ribosomal RNA". It matches the Rfam family "Bacterial small subunit ribosomal RNA", at positions 355 to 776 of the family's 1533-position model. Lineage: Bacteria; Pseudomonadati; Pseudomonadota. The record is from RNAcentral.